CGUGGCAGAUGAUGUGAUAUUAAAUCUUAUCCUACACACUGAAUACUCGUGUUGAUUUCUUACUCCGCUUAUUAUCUGAUGCCAUU
Molecule: small nucleolar RNA, 86 nt
Organism: Andrographis paniculata
Lineage: Eukaryota; Viridiplantae; Streptophyta; Magnoliopsida; Lamiales; Acanthaceae
Product: small nucleolar RNA R16
Exons: 1
Source: RefSeq, a predicted model, not a curated record